Molecule: long non-coding RNA, 820 nt
Filed under: Numida meleagris (helmeted guineafowl)
Lineage: Eukaryota; Metazoa; Chordata; Aves; Galliformes; Numididae
Description: lncRNA (ENSNMEG00000002991.1)
Source: RNAcentral
CACGUGUGACCCCACACGUCCUCAUGCGACCCCAUGUCUGACCCCACGUGUCCUCGUGCGACCCCAUAGGGCCACGUGUGACCCCACACGUCCUCGUGCGACCCACACGGUCACGUGACCCCACAGCACCAGCACGGUGCAUGGUGGCCUGGGUUGCGUUGCACCAUGGCGUCCGUCGUGUUGCACAGCUGCUGUGUCACACUACUGAGUCACACGAUGGCAUCGCACCACGGUUGUGUCAUACAACUGCAUCCCACCGUUGUGCCGCACCGCCGCCGCAUCGCACGACUGUCAUGUCCCAGCGCCGCCACGUCGCACCACGGUGGUGUUGCACGAUGGUGUCUGUGUCGCACCACGGCUGUGUUGCACGAUGGCAUCAAUUGCACCACCGCCGCGUUGCACCACGGUUGUGUUGCACGAUGGCGUCCGCGUCGCACCACGGUUGCGUUGCAUGUCGUCGUCCCUUGCACCACCGCCGUGUCGCACCACGGUCGUGCGUUGCACGAUCGCGUCCCGUCGUGUCGCACCGCCCUCGUGUCGCACGACGGUGCUCGUGUCACACGCCGCUGUCGCCGCUGUCGCCGCUGUGGGCGCUGUCCCCGCUCAGGCUCUGCCACUGUGGGGCACGGGGACGCGGGCGCUAUGGGGCAGCCCCACACCUGGGACCGACCCCUGCCCCACACCUCCACCUGUGCUGCCCCCCGGCCCCAUAGCUGUGCCCCAUAGCGCCCCCCCGGCCCCAUAGCUGUGCACCAUAGUGCCCCCCCAGCCCCACAGCUGUGCCCCACAGCAGCCCCUGCCCCACAGCUGUGCCCCACAG